Molecule: small nucleolar RNA, 210 nt
Organism: Sorex araneus (European shrew)
Lineage: Eukaryota; Metazoa; Chordata; Mammalia; Eulipotyphla; Soricidae
Product: small nucleolar RNA U3
Exons: 1
Source: RefSeq, a predicted model, not a curated record
AAGACUAUACUUUCAGGGAUCAUUUCUACAGUUUAUUACUAGAGAAGUUUCUCUGGUCAUGUAGAGCCCCCUAAACCAUGAGGAAGAGCAGAACAUCUUCUCCUGAGCACGAAGCCAGUUCUAGCUACUGCUUUAACAACUGCCUUUUACCAUUGUGCGUUCUUCUCUUUCUUUAGAAGAACGAGAGGGAGAGGAUGUGGCCUAAGUGAU